RNAcentral lists this ribosomal RNA (496 nucleotides) under uncultured bacterium. Its description in RNAcentral is "partial 16S ribosomal RNA". It matches the Rfam family "Bacterial small subunit ribosomal RNA", at positions 29 to 507 of the family's 1533-position model. The record is from RNAcentral.
AUGAACGCUGGCGGCGUGCCUAAUACAUGCAAGUCGAGCGAACGGACGAGAAGCUUGCUUCUCUGAUGUUAGCGGCGGACGGGUGAGUAACACGUGGAUAACCUACCUAUAAGACUGGGAUAACUUCGGGAAACCGGAGCUAAUACCGGAUGAUAUUUUGAACCGCAUGGUUCAAAAGUGAAAGACGGUCUUGCUGUCACAUAUAGAUGGAUCCGCGCUGCAUUAGCUAGUUGGUAAGGUAACGGCUUACCAAGGAAACGAUGCAUAGCCGACCUGAGAGGGUGAUCGGCCACACUGGAACUGAGACACGGUCCAGACUCCUACGGGAGGCAGCAGUAGGGAAUCUUCCGCAAUGGGCGAAAGCCUGACGGAGCAACGCCGCGUGAGUGAUGAAGGUCUUCGGAUCGUAAAACUCUGUUAUUAGGGAAGAACAUAUGUGUAAGUAACUGUGCACAUCUUGACGGUACCUAAUCAGAAAGCCACGGCUAACUACGUG